RNAcentral lists this ribosomal RNA (123 nucleotides) under Klebsiella pasteurii. The record is from RNAcentral. Lineage: Bacteria; Pseudomonadati; Pseudomonadota; Gammaproteobacteria; Enterobacterales; Enterobacteriaceae.
CCUGGCGGCGAUAGCGCGGUGGUCCCACCUGACCCCAUGCCGAACUCAGAAGUGAAACGCCGUAGCGCCGAUGGUAGUGUGGGGGUCUGGGGGGGGGGGUGUGAGUAGGGAAGGCCACUGGGG